This is a long non-coding RNA of Panicum virgatum (switchgrass), 2072 nucleotides long. RefSeq lists it as uncharacterized. NCBI's taxonomy places the organism in Eukaryota, Viridiplantae, Streptophyta, Magnoliopsida, Poales, Poaceae. The record is from RefSeq and is a predicted model, not a curated record. The transcript is spliced from 14 exons.
GCUUACCCGCCGCGAUACCCACCCCGCUGAUCACUCCCUCUUCACCGCAUCCCACCCGAGGUACGGCUGCGUCCUCCCUCGGCGCCACGGACGGGCAUACGCGCUGCCGCCGAACGGACUCCCUGCUGCUUCAGCUCCCUGCAGCUCUCCUCUGCCGCCGCGUCCCUCCCUUGCGACGUGGGCAGGAUCUCCCUGGUUGUCAUCAGCCGCCGCAUCCAUCGCGGAUCGAGCCGGUGGAGUCCGAGCUCUUCUCAAAGCAGACCCUCCCCCUUCCCCACUCCGCCACCCGGGCCUGCGGACCCUGGACAUCAGAGCCAGGGACGAUUCCUCGCCAUCGCCGUCGAUCGAGGCCCUGAACGUCGCCUGUGGCCGCGUCGUCCGCCUUGUCCCGUCCUGCGCCGUUUCGAUCCCCCACCGCCGCCGCCUUCGUCCCGAUCCGGCGGCGGGGAUCGAUCUUUCGCGCUUCCCCGAGACGACCGCCUUCGCCCAGCCGGAUGGCUUGCCAUCUGUGGGCUCCCGGGGCACCUCUCACCACGUGUUACGCGCGCACGCCGGUGCCCUCAUCUCCAACCGCAGAUUCGGCCGCCGUUCCGCGAGCUGCCGAGCUCCACCUCUUCGAAGCCGAGGCCUCCCUUCCGGCGCCUUCAUGGAUUCGCCAUUCGCCGGGUCGUCGCCCGCGGCGAGCACCACCACCAGGUGUGUCAACAACAAGCGGGGUUCGUCAGGAAUGAGGAGCCGAGGACAUGUGGGAGCAGCAGCACAAUCUCGGCACCCAAAAGAUAUACUCUCUCUGCUCCGAGCUUGACAUUCUGUUUUUCCUUAAGGGAAGUGUCGUUUGAGCGAAAACUGGCACUAAGCACUGGCUGUUAUUGGAUCAUUUGAUUCAGUUGUCAAAAACUGGCUUCAGCAAGGCAACACAGCCGUUGGAUGAAAUCUAUGCAUUCUGGGCAUGUUUGGAUGGCGUCCUAGAAACUUGCCUGUGCCAGGCAGUGCAUCCAGGCGACGAUUUCGUCAGCUUGGGGCCAGGAUCGCUGCCUGGUCCAGGGUCGCAUCCAAACAAGCCCUCUUUGCAAUAUUGAGGCUUCCUGCUGUGGAUAAGAAAGCAGGAGAAAUUGUGGCCACUGAUUGCUCAAAAUGAACCCUCGUUGAUCUCCUUACAGUUGCUUCCCAAACUAGCAGAUGAUGACUGCUUAGCUGCCAUGGAUCUUCUUCAAGCACUGCGUGUAGAACAUCUCGUCAGACUUUAUUUUAUUUACAUUUACAGGUGAGGCUGUGCAAACCUUUGGACUCCAUUAUUGUUUACUGGCACAAUUGGAGGAUACAUGGUUACAAGAGAACGGUGCAAGGGAAGUACUUGCUCAAAAGUUCUCCAUUCUAGCUUCAAAACAGUUCCAACUCACAAUACUUGGAGGGCUGAGUCGUGCAACAGACAAGAGCAUCUUCCAAGCUAUUGAUUUCCUUUUGGUUGUAUUCCUAUAUAGCUGCUCCUUGAUAGAGUGUUGGUGAUAUAAGCUCUCGAUAGAUAGAAAAGAUCAACAUGCUCCAGGGUGCUCUUGGCCAGUCGAUUAUCCAUUCCCCUCUCAUCCGGGAUUCUGCUGAAGGAAAACUAUGCUGCUGAAUUUGACAACAAGCAGUGACAAAUUGCUUGCUCCAGCGAGGACCAGACUGAGUCAUACAGCUUUUCUGGAUCGACAUUUCUGCCCCUGCUGAAACUGAAGAUGGAAGAAAGGUGAACGACCCGCCCACCUUCAAUGGCUACACAUAUUCAGGUGAAACUUCAGACGAUGAAGACCCAAAUGACGCCUACUAUUAUGCAGACUCAGAUCGCGAGCAAAGAACUGGUAGCUUAAUGCGCCAGAAUCUCAAGAUCUUCGCACAUGAAGCAAAUAGUGAACAGAAACGUUCUCAGGAAUCAUCUUCUGCAUCUAUGUGUUUGUAUGUGUGUGUAUACAACUAUGUACGUAUGUGUGUCUGCAUGCCAUGUAACUGUGUAUAUCAAGAUGUAUGUAACCAAACUGUCAGCACACUAUGCAAAUUCUGGAUGCUUCUUAUUUGUAACUACUUAUCUAACA